RNAcentral lists this ribosomal RNA (253 nucleotides) under uncultured bacterium. Its description in RNAcentral is "partial 16S ribosomal RNA". It matches the Rfam family "Bacterial small subunit ribosomal RNA", at positions 524 to 776 of the family's 1533-position model. The record is from RNAcentral.
UACAGAGGUGGCAAGCGUUGUUCGGAAUUACUGGGCGUAAAGGGCGCGUAGGCGGCCUUAUAAGUCUCGUGUGAAAGCCCUCGGCUUAACUGAGGAUCUGCACGGGAUACUGUAGGGCUCGAGUUCGGGAGAGGAAAGCGGAAUUCCGGGUGUAGCGGUGAAAUGCGUAGAUAUCCGGAGGAACACCAGUGGCGAAGGCGGCUUUCUGGACCGACACUGACGCUGAGGUGCGAAAGCGUGGGGAGCAAACAGG